This 910-nucleotide ribosomal RNA is filed under the name uncultured bacterium. RNAcentral describes it as "bacterial SSU rRNA". It matches the Rfam family "Bacterial small subunit ribosomal RNA", at positions 596 to 1504 of the family's 1533-position model. The record is from RNAcentral.
GAAAGCCCUCGGCUUAACCCGGGGAAUUGCAUCGGAAACUGUUUUUCUUGAGUGCAGAAGAGGAGAGUGGAACUCCAUGUGUAGCGGUGGAAUGCGUAGAUAUAUGGAAGAACACCAGUGGCGAAGGCGGCUCUCUGGUCUGCAACUGACGCUGAGGCUCGAAAGCAUGGGUAGCGAACAGGAUUAGAUACCCUGGUAGUCCAUGCCGUAAACGAUGAGUGCUAAGUAUUGGGAGGUUUCCGCCUCUCAGUGCUGCAGCUAACGCAUUAAGCACUCCGCCUGGGGAGUACGACCGCAAGGUUGAAACUCAAAGGAAUUGACGGGGGCCCGCACAAGCGGUGGAGCAUGUGGUUUAAUUCGAAGCUACGCGAAGAACCUUACCAGGUCUUGACAUCUUGCGCCAACCCUAGAGAUAGGGCGUUUCCUUCGGGAACGCAAAGACAGGUGGUGCAUGGUCGUCGUCAGCUCGUGUCGUGAGAUGUUGGGUUAAGUCCCGCAACGAGCGCAACCCUUGUUACUAGUUGCCAGCAUUAAGUUGGGCACUCUAGUGAGACUGCCGGUGAUAAACCGGAGGAAGGUGGGGACGACGUCAGAUCAUCAUGCCCCUUAUGACCUGGGCUACACACGUGCUACAAUGGACGGUACAACGAGUCGCGAACUCGCGAGGGCAAGCAAAUCUCUUAAAACCGUUCUCAGUUCGGACUGCAGGCUGCAACUCGCCUGCACGAAGUCGGAAUCGCUAGUAAUCGCGGAUCAGCAUGCCGCGGUGAAUACGUUCCCGGGCCUUGUACACACCGCCCGUCACACCAUGAGAGUUUGUAACACCCAAAGUCGGUGGGGUAACCUUUUAGGAGCCAGCCGCCUAAGGUGGGACAGAUGAUUAGGGUGAAGUCGUAACAAGGUAACCGUA